Molecule: ribosomal RNA, 460 nt
Filed under: uncultured bacterium
Lineage: Bacteria
Description: partial 16S ribosomal RNA
Rfam family: Bacterial small subunit ribosomal RNA
Source: RNAcentral
CCUACGGGAGGCAGCAGUGAGGAAUAUUGGUCAAUGGGCGCGAGCCUGAACCAGCCAAGUAGCGUGAAGGAUGACUGCCCUACGGGUUGUAAACUUCGUUUAUAAAGGAAUAAAGUGAGUCACGUGUGCCUUUUUGUAUGUACUUUAUGAAUAAGCAUCGGCUAACUCCGUGCCAGCAGCCGCGGUAAUACGGAGGAUGCGAGGGUUAUCCGGAUUUAUUGGGUUUAAAGGGUGCGUAGGUGGUUAAUUAAGUCAGCGGUGAAAGUUUGUGGCUCAACCAUAAAAUUGCCGUUGAAACUGGUUGACUUGAGUAUAUGUGAGGUAGGCGGAAUGCGUGGUGUAGCGGUGAAAUGCAUAGAUAUCACGCAGAACACCGAUUGCGAAGGCAGCUUACUAAACUAUAACUGACACUGAAGCACGAAAGCGUGGGGAGCAAACAGGAUUAGAUACCCUGGUAGUC